RNAcentral lists this ribosomal RNA (258 nucleotides) under uncultured bacterium. RNAcentral's name for it is "partial 16S ribosomal RNA". It matches the Rfam family "Bacterial small subunit ribosomal RNA", at positions 524 to 777 of the family's 1533-position model. The record is from RNAcentral.
UACGUAGGGCGCAAGCGUUAUCCGGAAUUAUUGGGCGUAAAGAGCUCGUAGGCGGUUUGUCGCGUCUGCCGUGAAAGUCCGGGGCUCAACUCCGGAUCUGCGGUGGGUACGGGCAGACUAGAGUGAUGUAGGGGAGACUGGAAUUCCUGGUGUAGCGGUGAAAUGCGUAGAUAUCGGAAGGAACACCGGUGGCGAAAGCGGCGUGCUGGAUCCCGUUCUCGACGCUGAGGCGCGAAAGCCAGGGGAGGCGGAACGGGG